UGCAAGUCGAGCGGAUGACGGGAGCUUGCUCCCUGAUUUAGCGGCGGACGGGUGAGUAAUGCCUAGGAAUCUGCCUGGUAGUGGGGGAUAACGUUCCGAAAGGAACGCUAAUACCGCGUACGUCCUACGGGAGAAAGCAGGGGACCUUCGGGCCUUGCGCUAUCAGAUGAGCCUAGGUCGGAUUAGCUAGUUGGUGAGGUAAUGGCUCACCAAGGCGACGAUCCGUAACUGGUCUGAGAGGAUGAUCAGUCACACUGGAACUGAGACACGGUCCAGACUCCUACGGGAGGCAGCAGUGGGGAAUAUUGGACAAUGGGCGAAAGCCUGAUCCAGCCAUGCCGCGUGUGUGAAGAAGGUCUUCGGAUUGUAAAGCACUUUAAGUUGGGAGGAAGGGCAGUAAGUUAAUACCUUGCUGUUUUGACGUUACCGACAGAAUAAGCACCGGCUAACUUCGUGCCAGCAGCCGCGGUAAUACGAAGGGUGCAAGCGUUAAUCGGAAUUACUGGGCGUAAAGCGCGCGUAGGUGGUUCGUUAAGUUGGAUGUGAAAGCCCCGGGCUCAACCUGGGAACUGCAUCCAAAACUGGCGAGCUAGAGUACGGUAGAGGGUGGUGGAAUUUCCUGUGUGGCGGUGAAAUGCGUAGAUAUAGGAAGGAACACCAGUGGCGAAGGCGACCACCUG
This 680-nucleotide ribosomal RNA is filed under the name uncultured bacterium. Its description in RNAcentral is "bacterial SSU rRNA". It matches the Rfam family "Bacterial small subunit ribosomal RNA", at positions 56 to 731 of the family's 1533-position model. The record is from RNAcentral.